GUAGUACUAGGAUGGGUGACCUCC
This 24-nucleotide non-coding RNA is filed under the name Arabidopsis thaliana (thale cress). The record is from RNAcentral. Lineage: Eukaryota; Viridiplantae; Streptophyta; Magnoliopsida; Brassicales; Brassicaceae. RNAcentral also lists the same sequence under 2 other names.